AACCUCCGCAAUGUGAGAAAUCGCGACGGGGGGAUCCCAAGUGCCAUUCUUAACGGGAUGGCUUUUCAUUAGUGUAAAAAGCUUUUGGAAUAAGAGCUGGGCAAGACCGGUGCCAGCCGCCGCGGUAACACCGGCAGCUCUAGUGGUAGCAAUUUUUAUUGGGCCUAAAGCGUCCGUAGCCGGUUUAAUAAGUCUCUGGUGAAAUCCUGUAGCUUAACUGUGGGAAUUGCUGGAGAUACUAUUAGGCUUGAGACCGGGAGAGGUUAGAGGUACUCCCAGGGUAGAGGUGAAAUUCUGUAAUCCUGGGAGGACCGCCUGUUGCGAAGGCGUCUAACUGGAACGGUUCUGACGGUGAGGGACGAAAGUUAGGGGCGCGAACCGGAUUAGAUACCCGGGUAGUCCUAACUGUAAACGAUGCGGACUUGGUGUUGGGGUGGCUUUGAGCUGCUCCAGUGCCGAAGGGAAGCUGUUAAGUCCGCCGCCUGGGAAGAACGGUCGCAAGACUGAAACUUAAAGGAAGU
Molecule: ribosomal RNA, 521 nt
Filed under: uncultured bacterium
Lineage: Bacteria
Description: bacterial SSU rRNA
Rfam family: Archaeal small subunit ribosomal RNA
Source: RNAcentral